CCUUUUUUCAAGAUUCCGUGUGUUGGUUUUCUUCAAUUCCUCCAUAUGCUCACUGCAACGAAAAAGAAAUUAGACCUUAUCUCAGUUACAUAGUGACCACAUUCUUUAAAAAUAAUUGAUUUUACUGGUAGCUUACUUUAUCCAUGGAAUGGCCUCAUCACAGUUGGAUAUUAUGUAGUGCCUCAUCCUAUGCAAGUCAAAAGAAGACGCAGUCUUUAUUUGAGAAGUCUAGCCUCCCAAGCAAUAGGAACUGGAAAGUGCAUCAUAAUAUCAAAAAAUGUUGUAGGGAAUAUUAUCUCAAGCCGAGAAAGAGUCUGUCCAAUCGAAUUCUUAAGUUGUUCAAUUCCAGAAUCCUCAAGCUCCUUUGAACAUAUUGAGUUAAGAAACCUGUUGAGCUCGAUCAAUGGGAUCACUACAUCUUCAGGCAAUAUGUGGCAUACCACCAAGGGUAAGAGUUUUUGUAAUAUAUCAUGGUAGUCAUGACUUUUAAGUCCAACAACCUUGCAACCAUCAACAUCAACACAUCUCCUGAUAUUAGAGGCAUAACCAUCGGGCAUCUUAACGCCUUCUAGAAAUUUGCACAUAAUUUUCUUUUCAGAAUCACCUAAAGAGUACAACGCUAGUGGCAAAGUAUAUUUACCUUUCUCGAGCAAUGGAUGUUGAUCCUUCCAUAUACCCAAUUCUUGCAGAUCAAAUCGAGCCUUCUCACUAUCCUUACAUUUACCUGCUAAGCCAAGUGUCCGUGUUUAGACCCGGCAACCUACCGAGGGGGUACCCGAGGUAGCGUUUUAUGCGUGGAGCUCACCGAGAUCAGGAACUCGAUGGUGAACUCGAACACAUGAUUUAGAUAGGUUCAGGUCGCUUAUGUCGCGUAAUACCCUACGUCCCGUGUGUUGGUUGGGUUGUAUUGAUUGAACUUAUUUAGAGGGGGUCCCUGCCUGUGACACCCGGCCCAAUUUGGUUGGCCCAGUGUGGCCCAUUAGCGUAGGUGCGCAUGUUUAGUACCACAUUGCUAGUUUAGCAAGGGUGGAGGCAACUUAUAAGCCUUCGUCAACUAGCCAUAGCACCUUCGGGUUAACCCUUUUACACGAAGCGAGGACGAAAGUGUAAGCAGGGUGCUAUGUGUACGCGUGCCCGCCCCUCGGAAGGGUUGGGCGGUGCGGCUUUGGAGGACGGGGUGUUACAAAUGGUAUCAGAGCCGACCCUCGCGGUUGCGCGUACGGGUCAGUGUGCGGGCAUAUGGCACAUGGCGUGUGUGGGCCUGAGAUGGGACACACGGCAUGGCAUAUUGCGCCGGCACUGGACGUACGGUCGUGCGCUUAGAGGGAACGUUCCUGGACAUUUUCCCAUGCGUGGGUGAGUUGGACCGACGAGGACGUCGGGUUCUUUGAGGGGGGGUGAAUGUGACACCCGGCCCAAUUUGGUUGGCCCAGUGUGGCCCAUUAGCGUAGGUGCGCAUGUUUAGUACCACAUUGCUAGUUUAGCAAGGGUGGAGGCAACUUAUAAGCCUUCGUCAACCAGCCAUAGCACCUUCGGGUUAACCCUUUUACACGAAGCGAGGACGAAAGUGUAAGCAGGGUGCUAUGUGUACGCGUGCCCGCCCCUCGGAAGGGUUGGGCGGUGCGGCUUUGGAGGACGGGGUGUUACACUGCCUCACCUUAUAUUGCCGGAGGCAGGGUUACAAGUCGGUUGUAUUACAAGAAUACUAGUCGGAUUCGACUAGAGAGUCCUACUCUAAUUGCUACGAGUAGUUUCCUAAUCCUCGACUAGUCCCUAUCCUCCAUGUAGACCACACUGUCCUGCACCGUAGUCUCCAUGUUUGACACGUCUCGAUGUACAGCCCCAUAUGGUAGGACUGCCCAAACCUUCUGGUGGGCCCAUAGAUGUAUGGAUGAGAAGCCCCCAAGUACUUUUUAGUCAAAUGUAGCAGUCCCGACUAGUUUGUGGUGCUCUUUUUUGUACUCCAUCGGAUUGAGUCUUCAAAGGAACUCGAGUACUACCAUGUAGCUAGAAUGUGUUCAAGCUUUAUUUAACUCAGUCUUGUAUCUUCAACCUUGAAUCUUAUAUGGAAGUGCGAUGAAAAUCACACUCUAUAUGGAGUAGCCCCCAAGCCUUCGGUUGAAUCGAAGAAUCAGGCUAAGGGUCAAUCUUGUUAUUUCACAUCUCUUUUGCCUUGAAACCCAAAGAAAAAACUUUUUAGCUGAUGGGCACGUGGCACGCAGCCCCCAAGCCAUUGCACGACUAGUUUGGGUAUAAGGGUCAACCAUUGGUCCACAUGACCGUUCGCCAAUAGUAACCUUAUCUCUUCCGAAAAAAUUGGAAACUAUCAAGCGACAAUUGCGGGCAUUUAAAAAAUAGAAUAUUCUUGUUAAUCUCGCCUCUGUUUUAACUAUGCCUCGGUAAUAAAUAAUGGAGGAAUUAAUCCCUUCAAUUUCACCUGAGCCAUUCUGCUUGUUCAUCUUCCACACUGUAGCCUUAGCACCACCGCUUGCAAUCCUUGACCUUGAGUGCCAUCCUCGCUACCGCUUAGCCCCCGAGCGCAUGCGCAAGAAGACCCUCGUGGCAACAUGAAUGGGGAAGAAAGCAAUGUCACAACCAGUUUCUGGACAAAAUCAAAUGCAUAGCAUAUGUGUGCCAGGAUCCGUUCUCACACAUAUGUUGACUUCAUAAGUGAAUACAUCAAAGACAGUCUUCAAAAAUGUAAAUAAAAUAGUAGACAACUUGUUACACUCUGAAAGCUAGACACGAAGGUCUUAAUCGUUCACCAUUAAACUUAACAUGCACACACACAGCGAAGCUUCUCCACAGGCUUGACUAGUGAACGCCUGCCUAGAACUCCUCAAAGUCAUCAAAGAACUCCACAUCGUCACAAGCUUCUAAAUAGCGUUUGGGCAAGGGUGAGUACACUUAUGGUUGGUACUCAGCAAGUGGGGGAAACAUGCAUGGCUCACAUUUUAGC
This 2959-nucleotide long non-coding RNA is filed under the name Setaria italica (foxtail millet). RNAcentral's name for it is "long non-coding RNA (SITA_LNC000387)". The record is from RNAcentral. Lineage: Eukaryota; Viridiplantae; Streptophyta; Magnoliopsida; Poales; Poaceae.